This 198-nucleotide small nuclear RNA is filed under the name Ailuropoda melanoleuca (giant panda). RNAcentral's name for it is "U4 spliceosomal RNA (ENSAMEG00000028018.1)". The stretch from base 1 to 83 matches the Rfam family "U4 spliceosomal RNA". The record is from RNAcentral. Lineage: Eukaryota; Metazoa; Chordata; Mammalia; Carnivora; Ursidae.
AGCUUUGCGCAGUGGCAGUAUCGUAGCCAAUGAGGUUUAUCCGAGGCGCGAUUAUUGCUAAUUGAAAACUUAAAAAAAAAAAAAAAAAAAAGAAAUAUUCCAGAGUACUCUACCUAUCUAUCCAUCCAUCCAUCCAUCUCCAUUUUUAAUAAGGAAAUUGGACUAUAAUUAUUUUAAGUAAUUUGCUCACACAGGCUG